RNAcentral lists this long non-coding RNA (1066 nucleotides) under Marmota monax (woodchuck). The record is from RNAcentral. Lineage: Eukaryota; Metazoa; Chordata; Mammalia; Rodentia; Sciuridae.
GUCUGACCCAGGCCAAUGUGAUGCAAGUCCACAAAGCCCUUAAUGCUUCUUGAAAAUCUUUCUGUGUGUUCCUACGUCAUUCACUCUCCCUUUCUGCUAGACAGUAAUUAUACACCCUCCACUCACCUGAAACCUCAGCACCUCUUCUCUUAAUCCUCACUCUCAGCUGAUGAUUUUGUUUCCUACUUCACUUAGAAAUUAGGAUCAAAGAAAACCUCCCAGACUUUCAUUAUUACUGCAUCUACUCACAUGAGCAUAUUCCAUGCUUCACCUCCCUACUAAAUACCAGAGAACUAACUACCCAUGCUCUUACCCCAAACCAGUAGCUCAACUUGUCCAUUUGACCCCAUCUCCUCUGACUCACUCAAAAAUACUACUAUUGGAAUUCCCUUCUACUAAAUCAUUGUUUCUUUACUCUCUAUUAGAUACAGCCUGCAACCAUGAUGUUAUUUAUCCUAGAAUACUUCUCAUUUCCCCACUUCCUCUAAAUGUUGAUCCAUUGUUCUGCUCUUUUGUGCAGCAAAAUUCAUCAAAAUGAUUUCCUCUACAAUCUCCAGUUUCCCUUCUCUAAUUUUCUCUCAAAACUACUACAAGCAGAUGUUUGUCCCAAUACUUCAACAGAACCACUUCUGUCAAAGUCACUGUAAACCUCCAUGUAGCUAAACCCAAAGGCCAAUUUCAAUCCUAAUCUGAUUUUAGCUAUCAAUGAUAUUUACCACAAUCAAUACCUUUAUCUUCCUCAAUAUAUCUUUUCCACUUGGUUUUUUUGGACACCGAUAUCCUCCUGUGCUUUCCCCUUCACAGUCUUCUGUGAAAAAGUCCCUCUUCUCCAACAUUGGGUGUCCCAGGUCUCAUUUGUUGGUCCUCUUCUCCAUCGAGUUUCACCCCUUAGUGGUCUUACCUGUUCUCAAGGUUUUAAAUAUCCAUAUGCCAGUGGGUUCCCCGUUGUGUAACUCCAGCACAGAAUCCCUCCUAAAUUCCAGAUUGACUAUCCAGUUACCUAUGUAAUAUCCCAUAUUCAGUAUUUCCAAAACUAUACUCCUGACCUUUCUUCCAAACCUGUUUU